AUGGAAGGGCUCCUACAUUGGGAUUUCAACCCUGGCCUUGCAGUGGUCGAGCAGGUACGUCGCCGGUUUGGAGAGACGGUGCAAUUCUCUUCUUCGGACAAGACCAAGGAAUUUUUCUUGGUUGUCUCCUUCUCCUCAGCUCCCUUCCCCCUGAAUGAAGAAUCUGUGGGUGUGGCUCUUCAGUGUUGCAUUGGUGGCCAUCAUCUUGGUUUUAAGGUUUCUAAGAUUUUUUAG
This 234-nucleotide ribosomal RNA is filed under the name Triticum aestivum (bread wheat). RNAcentral's name for it is "partial small subunit ribosomal RNA". Lineage: Eukaryota; Viridiplantae; Streptophyta; Magnoliopsida; Poales; Poaceae. The record is from RNAcentral.